AGUCGGACGGCAGCACGGACUUCGGUCUGGUGGCGAGUGGCGAACGGGUGAGUAAUGCAUUGGAACGUACCGAGUAGUGGGGGAUAACUAGUCGAAAGAUUAGCUAAUACCGCAUACGCAUUGAGAUGGAAAGCGGGGGAUCUUAGGACCUCGCGCUAUUUGAGCGGCCAAUGUCUGAUUAGCUAGUUGGUGGGGUAAAGGCCUACCAAGGCGACGGUCAGUAGCGGGUCUGAGAGGAUGAUCCGCCACACUGGGACUGAGACACGGCCCAGACUCCUACGGGAGGCAGCAGUGGGGAAUUUUGGACAAUGGGCGAAAGCCUGAUCCAGCCAUGCCGCGUGUCUGAAGAAGGCCUUCGGGUUGUAAAGGACUUUUGUCAGGGAAGAAAAGGUGAUUGCUAAUAUCAGUCGCUGAUGACGGUACCUGAAGAAUAAGCACCGGCUAACUACGUGCCAGCAGCCGCGGUAAUACGUAGGGUGCGAGCGUUAAUCGGAAUUACUGGGCGUAAAGCGAGCGCAGACGGUUUGUUAAGCAGGAUGUGAAAUCCCCGAGCUCAACUUGGGAACGGCGUUCUGAACUGGCAAGCUAGAGUAUGUCAGAGGGGGGUAGAAUUCCACGUGUACCAGUGAAAUGCGUAGAGAUGUGGAGGAAUACCGAUGGCGAAGGCAGCCCCCUGGGAUAAUACUGACGUUCA
This 694-nucleotide ribosomal RNA is filed under the name uncultured bacterium. RNAcentral describes it as "bacterial SSU rRNA". It matches the Rfam family "Bacterial small subunit ribosomal RNA", at positions 60 to 749 of the family's 1533-position model. The record is from RNAcentral.